This 369-nucleotide unclassified non-coding RNA is filed under the name soil metagenome. Its description in RNAcentral is "partial contains 5.8S ribosomal RNA, internal transcribed spacer 2, and large subunit ribosomal RNA". The stretch from base 1 to 120 matches the Rfam family "5.8S ribosomal RNA", at positions 35 to 154 of the family's 154-position model. The record is from RNAcentral.
GAUGAAGAACGCAGCGAAAUGCGAUAAGUAAUAUGAAUUGCAGAUUUUCGUGAAUCAUCGAAUCUUUGAACACACAUUGCGCCCUUUGGUAUUCCAAAGGGCAUGCCUGUUUGAGCGUCAUUUCUCUCUCAAAUCUUCGGAUUUGGUUUUGAGUGAUACUCUUAGUCAGACUAGGCGUUUGCUUGAAAUGUAUUGGCAUGAGUGGUACUAGAUAGUGCUAAACUGUUUCAAUGUAUUAGGUUUAUCCAACUCGUUGACCAGUGAAGUAUUUGUUUAUUACACAGGCUCGGCCUUACAACAACAAACAAAGUUUGACCUCAAAUCAGGUAGGACUACCCGCUGAACUUAAGCAUAUCAAUAAGCGGAGGA